AUAAAAACGAGGAUGAAGACAUAUUUAUUGAAUUAAACUUUUUUAGAGAGCUGGUGGGUGGUGCGAACCAGUAAGUUAUUUAGUAAAUUCCACUUCUGAGUUGUUAAGCUGAACGAUAUUAGUAAGCUUAAUCGUUAAUGGACGUUACCCAGGAAUCCAAUUAAGAAUUGAUUGAAGAUCAAUCAAUAAAAUUAGGGUGGCACCGCGGAAAUAGAAUAACAACUUUUCGCCCCUUAC
This 237-nucleotide non-coding RNA is filed under the name Amphibacillus xylanus. Its description in RNAcentral is "T-box sequence". It matches the Rfam family "T-box leader". Rfam says of the family: Uncharged tRNA acts as the effector for transcription antitermination of genes in the T-box leader family. The record is from RNAcentral. Lineage: Bacteria; Bacillati; Bacillota; Bacilli; Caryophanales; Bacillaceae.